UGGGGAAUUUUGGACAAUGGGCGAAAGCCUGAUCCAGCAAUGCCGCGUGAGUGAAGAAGGCCUUCGGGUUGUAAAGCUCUUUUGUCAGGGAAGAAACGGUGAGGGCUAAUAUCCCUUGCUAAUGACGGUACCUGAAGAAUAAGCACCGGCUAACUACGUGCCGGCAGCCGCGGUAAUACGUAGGGUGCAAGCGUUAAUCGGAAUUACUGGGCGUAAAGCGUGCGCAGGCGGUUUUGUAAGUCUGAUGUGAAAUCCCCGGGCUCAACCUGGGAAUUGCAUUGGAGACUGCAAGGCUAGAAUCUGGCAGAGGGGGGUAGAAUUCCACGUGUAGCAGUGAAAUGCGUAGAUAUGUGGAGGAACACCGAUGGCGAAGGCAGCCCCCUGGGUCAAGAUUGACGCUCAUGCACGAAAGCGUGGGGAGCAAACA
This 427-nucleotide ribosomal RNA is filed under the name uncultured bacterium. RNAcentral's name for it is "partial 16S ribosomal RNA". It matches the Rfam family "Bacterial small subunit ribosomal RNA", at positions 355 to 774 of the family's 1533-position model. The record is from RNAcentral.